Molecule: ribosomal RNA, 444 nt
Filed under: uncultured Rhodoplanes sp.
Lineage: Bacteria; Pseudomonadati; Pseudomonadota; Alphaproteobacteria; Hyphomicrobiales; Nitrobacteraceae
Description: bacterial SSU rRNA
Rfam family: Bacterial small subunit ribosomal RNA
Source: RNAcentral
UCCUACGGGGGGCAGCAGUGGGGAAUAUUGGACAAUGGGGGCAACCCUGAUCCAGCCAUGCCGCGUGAGUGAUGAAGGCCCUAGGGUUGUAAAGCUCUUUUGUGCGGGAAGAUAAUGACUGUACCGCAAGAAUAAGCCCCGGCUAACUUCGUGCCAGCAGCCGCGGUAAUACGAAGGGGGCUAGCGUUGCUCGGAAUCACUGGGCGUAAAGCGCACGUAGGCGGACUCUUAAGUCGGUGGUGAAAUCCUGGAGCUCAACUCCAGAACUGCCUUCGAUACUGGGAGUCUCGAGUUCGGGAGAGGUGAGUGGAACUGCGAGUGUAGAGGUGAAAUUCGUAGAUAUUCGCAAGAACACCAGUGGCGAAGGCGGCUCACUGGCCCGAUACUGACGCUGAGGUGCGAAAGCGUGGGGAGCAAACAGGAUUAGAUACCCUAGUAGUCGCC